Molecule: ribosomal RNA, 301 nt
Filed under: uncultured bacterium
Lineage: Bacteria
Description: partial 16S ribosomal RNA
Rfam family: Bacterial small subunit ribosomal RNA
Source: RNAcentral
CAGUAGCCGCGGUAAUACGAAGGUCCCGAGCGUUGUUCGGAAUCACUGGGCGUAAAGGGAGCGUAGGCGGCGUGGUAAGUCAGAUGUGAAAUCCCGGGGCUCAACCCCGGAACUGCAUCCGAUACUGCCAUGCUAGAGGACUGGAGAGGUAGCUGGAAUUCUUGGUGUAGCAGUGAAAUGCGUGGAGAUCAAGAGGAACACUCGUGGCGAAAGCGAGCUACUGGACAAUAACUGACGCUGAGGCUCGAAGGCCAGGGUAGCGAAAGGGAUUAGAUACCCGUGUAGUCCCUGUCUCUUAUAC